Molecule: long non-coding RNA, 343 nt
Organism: Hipposideros armiger (great roundleaf bat)
Lineage: Eukaryota; Metazoa; Chordata; Mammalia; Chiroptera; Hipposideridae
Exons: 3
Source: RefSeq, a predicted model, not a curated record
GGGAGAAGUGUGAAGCAGACAGCCGCCUGCAAUUAUCACCACACCCCUUAAGCCCCGCUUCACAGAGGGCUAGGCUUAAGAACAAAGGGGCUGGGUUCCGCCAGCUACGUCUGCGUGACAGAGUGAAUGGCCAGUUCAGUCCCAACCCAGUCACCUGGAAGGCUGACUAGCAAUCGGUAGGAGAAACCAGGACUUCAAGCCUGAGGCAUUGAGUAACCACGCAUACGCAUUUAAAGGGAUCAGGAAAAAGGGAAUGGGAUAUUACUCGGACAUAAAAAGGAACGCCAUGAUGUGGAUGAAACUUGAAAACAGCACGCUAAGAGAAAGAAGCCAGACACAAAAG